RNAcentral lists this ribosomal RNA (476 nucleotides) under Hyphopichia burtonii. RNAcentral describes it as "eukaryotic LSU rRNA". The stretch from base 140 to 293 matches the Rfam family "5.8S ribosomal RNA". The record is from RNAcentral. Lineage: Eukaryota; Fungi; Ascomycota; Pichiomycetes; Serinales; Debaryomycetaceae.
UGGAAGGUAAAAAGUCGUAACAAGGUUUCCGUAGGUGAACCUGCGGAAGGAUCAUUAAAAAUUUAAUUGUUUACACGUUUACGUUUAACAUAUACAACUAACCAACUUAAUUAUGUCAACAACAACAACCAAAAAUCAAAACUUUCAACAACGGAUCUCUUGGUUCUCGCAUCGAUGAAGAACGCAGCGAAAUGCGAUAAGUAAUAUGAAUUGCAGAUUUUCGUGAAUCAUCGAAUCUUUGAACGCACAUUGCACCUUGUGGUAUUCCACAAGGUAUGCCUGUUUGAGCGUCAUUUCUCCCUCAACCCCCGCGGGUUGGCGUUGAAUGGCACGAGCUCUUAGUCAGUCCAUUCGAAAAGUAUUUUUCUUGUGUUGUUAUUUUCUAAUUUAGUAGUGACAACCACACUAAAAACACAUUUUCCUCAAAUCAGGUAGGACUACCCGCUGAACUUAAGCAUAUCAAAAGGCGGGAGGAA